Molecule: ribosomal RNA, 451 nt
Filed under: uncultured bacterium
Lineage: Bacteria
Description: bacterial SSU rRNA
Rfam family: Bacterial small subunit ribosomal RNA
Source: RNAcentral
CGCCAGACUCCUACGGGAGGCAGCAGUGGGGAAUAUUGCACAAUGGGCGAAAGCCUGAUGCAGCAACGCCGCGUGAAGGAAGAAGGCCUUCGGGUCGUAAACUUCUGUCCUUGGGGAAGAAGAACUGACGGUACCCAAGGAGGAAGCCCCGGCUAACUACGUGCCAGCAGCCGCGGUAAUACGUAGGGGGCAAGCGUUAUCCGGAUUUACUGGGUGUAAAGGGAGCGUAGACGGCCGUGCAAGUCUGAUGUGAAAACCCGGGGCUCAACCCCGGGACUGCAUUGGAAACUGCAUGGCUGGAGUGUCGGAGAGGCAAGUGGAAUUCCUAGUGUAGCGGUGAAAUGCGUAGAUAUUAGGAGGAACACCAGUGGCGAAGGCGGCUUGCUGGACGACGACUGACGUUGAGGCUCGAAAGCGUGGGGAGCAAACAGGAUUAGAUACCCCUGUAUUG